CUCCUCCAUCAGCCCCAGAAUUGUGUCUUUCUAUGGAAGAAACCACGCAGUGUUGUCAGGUGGUAACCUCAGCGGUGUGACCGGAGUGAGGAUGCAGGCAGACCUGGACUGUACGCCACAGGAGUCUCCUGUCUGGAACAACAGCGGCUCCAGUUUGACCUUCCACAUUCCCAGAGCAAACCGUAAAGGGACAGUGAAAGCCUGCGUUCUCCUCCCAGACGGCAGUUGCCACGGUGACGCGAGCAUCACCUACCAGUCGUCACCUUCCUGUCGAGACAUUUCACCGAGGAACUCCUGGAUCAGUGGGGGGAGGAAGAUCACACUCACUGGAUCUCACCUGGAGUUUGUGGAGGGGGUCAUUCACAGCCGAGCCCCUCAGGAAGUCCAACCUCCGACUGACAGGAACCAUCAG
Salarias fasciatus (jewelled blenny) is the source of this 412-nucleotide long non-coding RNA. RefSeq lists it as uncharacterized. The record is from RefSeq and is a predicted model, not a curated record. Lineage: Eukaryota; Metazoa; Chordata; Actinopteri; Blenniiformes; Blenniidae. The transcript has 3 exons.